This is a long non-coding RNA of Oreochromis aureus, 390 nucleotides long. NCBI's taxonomy places the organism in Eukaryota, Metazoa, Chordata, Actinopteri, Cichliformes, Cichlidae. The record is from Ensembl.
GUAAGUAGCCUGCCCUGCGCCCUCAGCUCACGCGCUCACCAAAUCAGCUGUUGCUCCUCCAGACUGGACGCCGCGCGCUCUCUCUCCUUGCAUGCUCCGGCGUCGCCGAUCACGUAAAAGUGCAGUCCGCUUCUCGGUUCUUCUCCACCUGUCCUCCACCCCCCUCUCAGUGUCGGCACAAAGUUGCUGGGAGGACCGCGUCUGAAACAAAACUCAGCAUGUGGCAGCGCGAGUGUCGCAACAUCCGCGAGCGGGACCUCAGCGGACGGUCUGUGAUCUGAAACCCAAAAACAAAGAGACAGAUUACGAGGCUUGGAACGGCGGGAAGCCACGCAGAAGGCUGAGAGCAGCAGCCACUGGUGGAUCGAGAGCCUCCAUCACUCCGUAUGC